UGCAGUGGAGACUCAGGGUCAAAGUGCUU
RNAcentral lists this non-coding RNA (29 nucleotides) under Rattus norvegicus (Norway rat). Lineage: Eukaryota; Metazoa; Chordata; Mammalia; Rodentia; Muridae. The record is from RNAcentral.